RNAcentral lists this ribosomal RNA (305 nucleotides) under uncultured bacterium. Its description in RNAcentral is "bacterial SSU rRNA". It matches the Rfam family "Bacterial small subunit ribosomal RNA", at positions 333 to 656 of the family's 1533-position model. The record is from RNAcentral.
UUACUCCUACGGGGGGCAGCAGUGGGGGAUAUUGCACAAUGGGGGAAACCCUGAUGCAGCGACGCCGCGUGGGUGAAGAAGCGCCUCGGCGCGUAAAGCCCUGUCAGCAGGGAAGAAAAUGACGGUACCUGAAGAAGAAGCCCCGGCUAACUACGUGCCAGCAGCCGCGGUAAUACGUAGGUGGCGAGCGUUAUCCGGAUUUAUUGGGCGUAAAGUGUGCGCAGGCGGUUUAUUAAGUCUAAGAUUAAAGCCCGGAGCUUAACUCCGGUUCGUCUUAGAAACUGGUAGACUUGAGUAUGGUAGAG